GACGAACGCUGGCGGCGUGCCUAAUACAUGCAAGUCGAACGAAGCUUUCUUUCACCGAAUGCUUGCAUUCACCGAAAGAAGCUUAGUGGCGAACGGGUGAGUAACGCGUGAGUAACCUGCCCUGGAGUGGGGGACAACAGUUGGAAACGACUGCUAAUACCGCAUAAGCCCACGGAGCCGCAUGGCUCUGAGGGAAAAGGAGAAAUUUCGCUUCAGGAUGGACUCGCGUCCAAUUAGCUAGUUGGUGAGGUAACGGCCCACCAAGGCGACGAUUGGUAGCCGGACUGAGAGGUUGAACGGCCACAUUGGGACUGAGACACGGCCCAGACUCCUACGGGAGGCAGCAGUGGGGGAUAUUGCACAAUGGGGGAAACCCUGAUGCAGCGACGCCGCGUGGAGGAAGAAGGUUUUCGGAUUGUAAACUCCUGUCGUUAGGGACGAUAAUGACGGUACCUAACAAGAAAGCACCGGCUAACUACGUG
RNAcentral lists this ribosomal RNA (482 nucleotides) under uncultured bacterium. RNAcentral describes it as "bacterial SSU rRNA". It matches the Rfam family "Bacterial small subunit ribosomal RNA", at positions 28 to 507 of the family's 1533-position model. The record is from RNAcentral.